GGAGCACUGUAACAAAGAAAUAAUUUCCCCCAGGGAUCAAUAAAGUAUUCUGAUUCUGUUCAUCUGGAAUGAUGAUGGAGUCUUGAGCAAUUUGGGCUUUCAGGUAUUUCUUGCACCUUUCUGAGGGAAGAGGGGCUCCAGAACUGUCAUCACCUUCUGCCUCACUGAGGGCCACAACAGUGAUAGCACGUAGGAGCUGUUUUGCAUGGGCCAAACAUUGUGACUGAAGAAGUUUUGCUAAUGACCUGACAAAGAAAUCUUUAACACGGUGUGUUUUCUUCUUCAGGCAGUCCCACUGACAUAUCAUCUUGAUGCAGUGCGCAACAUCAACCCUGAUAAAACAUGGGGGGAGUUUGGCAGACUGGGUUCCAAGAAGGACAUGAAAGCAUUCAUUAAGAGUGGCCAAAUUUGGAAGGUGGCUUGGCUCAGGAUCUCCAACAUCCAUCAGAUCUGCUGCCUUCGCUGACCUCCAUACAGCCGGUUCCAUUCUGCCCUCUCACAGCUCUUUAGAGAUCUGUUCACGCAGGUUUCCAGACAUGAACCGCUUGGAGUGGCCAGUGUGCAGGGAGAGAUCUGUAUUUCUCAUGAAACACUGGAGCACCAUUGGACUAUUAAUUGCUGGCUGUCUGUCACAUGACAUUUCGAACUGGCCAUGACACUCCUUACAGUCGCCUCUGAUGUCCAGAUAAUUAUUGUUGACAGUUGGAUGGACCUUUGCUCUUCGAAACACAAGUGUACAUGUAUUUUUGAUCUUCUUCCAUAUAAGAUCGUUGAUGAUAUGAGUCCAAGUGCCAGGUUUCAAAAUUGUGUAUUCCCUUUUUUGGGUAGGAGAAAACUUGUCAUUGUAUUCAACCUUUUCAGGAAUAAAUUUAACCCAGUCCUCAAAAGGGACUUCUAGUUCA
Long non-coding RNA from Oreochromis aureus, 902 nucleotides. RefSeq lists it as uncharacterized. The record is from RefSeq and is a predicted model, not a curated record. Lineage: Eukaryota; Metazoa; Chordata; Actinopteri; Cichliformes; Cichlidae. The transcript has 2 exons.